Molecule: ribosomal RNA, 470 nt
Filed under: denitrifying bacterium M993
Lineage: Bacteria
Description: bacterial SSU rRNA
Rfam family: Bacterial small subunit ribosomal RNA
Source: RNAcentral
AUGGACGAAAGUCUGACGGAGCAACGCCGCGUGAGCGAUGAAGGCCUUCGGGUCGUAAAGCUCUGUUGUUAGGGAAGAACAAGUACCGGAGUAACUGCCGGUACCUUGACGGUACCUAACCAGAAAGCCACGGCUAACUACGUGCCAGCAGCCGCGGUAAUACGUAGGUGGCAAGCGUUGUCCGGAAUUAUUGGGCGUAAAGCGCGCGCAGGCGGUCCUUUAAGUCUGAUGUGAAAGCCCACGGCUCAACCGUGGAGGGUCAUUGGAAACUGGGGGACUUGAGUGCAGAAGAGGAAAGCGGAAUUCCACGUGUAGCGGUGAAAUGCGUAGAGAUGUGGAGGAACACCAGUGGCGAAGGCGGCUUUCUGGUCUGUAACUGACGCUGAGGCGCGAAAGCGUGGGGAGCAAACAGGAUUAGAUACCCUGGUAGUCCACGCCGUAAACGAUGAGUGCUAAGUGUUAGGGGGUUU